CUUGCUUAAACAAACAAACUGGUAAAUAAAAUGUUUUUCAGAAAAAUGUACCCAAAGGAUACAACCCAGUAUCCAAAAUUGCUUAAGAAGGAAGAACCAGGAUAAUGUAACCCAUUUCCAAGGGAAAAGUCCAUCAAGAGAUGCCAGCCACGAGGUUCAGGCUUUGGACCGGCUCAGGCCACCGGGCUGAUUCUUGGUGUCACCGUUCACCAGCCCUGUGACCUGCCUCCCCCUCGCAGAGCCUCUGGCUCUUCAGUCUGAAGCAGGAGAGCUGCGUGGGCCACCAUGUUUUGAAGAAGCUUCCGGGUCACCCUCGGUCCAGGCCUCCCGGCGAUCUGAGUCCUCGCAGUGUGAGUAGGGGGAAGUGUGUGUCCGUCCUGACCCGCAGGAGUCUGCCACUGAGGGCUGGGCCAUGAGCAGAGGGGCUUCUCCUCAUCCAGAGCUCCCUGGCAAACCUGGCCUCCUCCUGUGUCCGGCUCUCUCCUGCUCCACAAACCUUCUCUGCCUGCGCUUUCUGUCCCUCCCACUUCCCCCGUUCUCCCUCAGCCCUACCCCGGCCUUUUCCUAAAUAAAUAAAGACUCUCAACUUCCUGCCCUUCUAUCAUCAACCCACACUCUCCCUCUUUCAAUCUGCUUCCCUGUGAUGCAAAAGGAAAAACUCUCUUCCUCUUGUGUAAGGCCAGCUUUUUUACUGUGCUCCUUGUCCUCCCUUUCUUGGGACCUAGGCCAUGUCUUCUUGAAUUAUCUCUUUUUCAUCUCAUUUUUGACAUUUUAAUCUCCUUUGGGUCAUUUCUUAGAGCCUAUUAGAUAUCCUUUUCUUCCCCCUCUUUUUUUUUUUUUUUUUAGUAAAAGGAGAAAAAGAAAACCUUUAUCUUGCAUUCUACUUACAUAGCACUCUCUUUAUUUUGUAUUAAUUUUUUUAUUUCUUUAAAUCUAUUUUUGUUGACGUAGAGUUGACACACUAUGACGUUACUUUCAAAUACACAACAUAGUGAUUUGACGUCUCUAUACUGAUGCUAUGCUCACCACACGUGUCACUACCAUCUGUCACCACAGAAUGCUAUUACAAUAUCAGUGGCUAUAUUCCCUACGCUCUGCCUCAUAUUCCCAUGACUUACUCAUUCCAUGACUAGAAGCUGUGUCUCCCACCUCCCUUCACCCAUUUUGCCCAUUCCCCAUCCCCCUUUUCUCUCUUUUUAAAAAUCAAGUUAAAAAAGAAGAAUCUACCCUUGUUUUGACUUCCUCAUAUCUCACUCACUCACAUUUCUAUUUCUAGUACUUACCAUAUUAAUUGAGUUACAAAGGCACGUUCAAGAAUCACCUGUAGAAUAAUACACCGAUUUAGAACUACUCCGGACCUCACUCAAUCAUCAAUCAAGUCAAAGAGGAUGGAGGGCUGUUUCAUGUGAGCGGAUGUAUCAAGAGUGGUUACCAAGCCAACAGCAAACUGAUGUGGAGAAUUGCCUUCCUACAACAGAGAAUGAAAUAUGGAAGUCAACCAACAAAGACAAAUUAGCCCAGUGCAGUGGGACCCGGGGGCAGACUCUGGCCUCAGUUCUUUCCAGUCUUCUGUAGACUUCUUUUGGAAUGGUUUUGAGAACACAAGUCAGCUCUCCAGCUGGAUCUACUCAUCUCUCUUUCUGUGCUUUUACCCAUGGUGCCCUCAUCCAUUCACGUGAUGUGGGACACCUUCCGUAACCCGAGGACUCCCAAAUUGAUAUUUCUAUCCAAGAUUUCCCUUCAAAGUCCCAAGCUUGUCUAUUUUUCAAAUGGCAUCACAAUUGUGUCCCAAACCCGACUCCUGAUUCUCACCCUUAAACCUGUUUCUCUGCUGAGAGCGUGGCAUUAUCCACUCCAUUGCUUGAACCUAAAGCCUAGCAAUUUCUUCCUCUUAUUUAAUGAAACCCUCUAUGCCACAUUUGAUCCAGUUCACUUAAUCCAAAAUUCCAAUUCCAAAAAUACAUCUUGAAUCCUUUUGCCAAUAUCUGAACUACUGUGACUUCUCAUUCGGAUCACUGACUUUGCAUCCUAACAGACUUGUUUUCCACCUUGUGCUUCCCAGGAGCAGCCACGGUAGGUCUAAAGUCUCAGUCAGACCAUGCACUCCUUUCCUUGAACAUCUUAGUAACUUCUUAUAGCAUCUCCAAGAACAUCCAAGCCUGGGAGUGACCUGGUUUUGUCCAUCUCUUUCACUUUAGAUUCUGUAGAGUGAUUAGGACAGAGAAGAGCAAGAGCGUUCCCAGCCUCAGGGCAUUUGCACCUGCUGUGCUUCAUACCUGCCUAUUUCACACCUAUCCUUUCUUUAUCUGGAUUGCUCAUUUUCAUCUUCCAAGUCUCAUCUUAACUGUCACUUCCCAGGAGGUCUAGCGCA
Mustela lutreola (European mink) is the source of this 2371-nucleotide long non-coding RNA. RefSeq lists it as uncharacterized. Lineage: Eukaryota; Metazoa; Chordata; Mammalia; Carnivora; Mustelidae. The transcript has 3 exons. The record is from RefSeq and is a predicted model, not a curated record.